GACAGAGGGGGCAAGCGUUGCUCGGAAACACUGGGCGUAAAGGGCGCGUAGGCGGGAUGGCAAGUCGGUCGUGAAAUCCUUCGGCUCAACCGAAGAACGUCGGCCGAUACUGCCGUUCUUGAGGGAUGCAGAGGAGAUUGGAAUUCCCGGUGUAGCGGUGAAAUGUGUAGAGAUCGGGAGGAACACCGGUGGCGAAGGCGGGUCUCUGGGCAUCUCCUGACGCUGAGGCGCGAAAGCGUGGGGAGCGAACCGG
Molecule: ribosomal RNA, 253 nt
Filed under: uncultured bacterium
Lineage: Bacteria
Description: partial 16S ribosomal RNA
Rfam family: Bacterial small subunit ribosomal RNA
Source: RNAcentral